Molecule: RNA transcript, 5021 nt
Organism: Cercocebus atys (sooty mangabey)
Lineage: Eukaryota; Metazoa; Chordata; Mammalia; Primates; Cercopithecidae
Gene: MTNR1A
Gene name: melatonin receptor 1A
Exons: 3
Source: RefSeq, a predicted model, not a curated record
CUCAUCUUCACCAUCGUGGUGGACGUCCUGGGCAACCUGCUGGUCAUCCUGUCGGUGUAUCGGAACAAGAAGCUCCGGAACGCAGUUCAAGCCAUUUGAGAAUUUCUGGACUCGAUGGUGAUUUGAAACAGUGAUAAGGAUAGCUGAUUCAAAUGAUGAAAUGAUGGGAAGAAGAGAAUGGAAGAAAUGAGAAGGCGAAAGCGUCUAGGCUUUGAACCGUCACUUUCCUUUGGAAAGCUGGUAUAAUUGCUGUGAUUUCUGCCACCUUCCUCCCCUCAAGGGACUGUGUUGACAUUUGAUUUCCCAGAGAAUAAAUUGAAAAUGGCUAACAACCUGCAUGGCAGGGACACUGGACAGCCACAGCCGAAGUAAGCUGCAACCACUGGCAUCUGUGGUGCCAACAGAAUAUUCGCUCUACUCUUGUCCACAAUUUGAUGAUAGAAGUGAUACUGCCAUAUCAUAUCUUCUGAGUAAAUUUGAUAGCAUAAUGGACGAUUCCUGCAGUGGAACGCUAGAAUUAGAUCUUUGCUGUGCACCUUCUGAUUUCAGAAAUCAGCGAAGCUGAAUACCAAACUUCAUUUUCCACAUUUGUCGAAUUGCAGAUAAUACCUAACCUUUUAGCCUCAUAAGAGUGUUGCAAUGACUGUAGUGAAAUGGCGCAUAUGAGAAUACUUUGAAAAGGAUAAAACAAGUAAUACUGUGUUGGCUUGUUUGUUUUCUGGGUACACCUAACAAAGGUGUGCUCUGUUUGUUGGAAAUCAUUGCGCUAUAGACCUAUGAUUCAUGCACUUUUCUAUAUGUACAUUAUACUUAAAUAAAACUUAUUUUACAAAGUAUCAGGCAAGAGUACAAUACUAUCUUGCCUAUUCAAAAUUCAAUUAUCUGGCAAUCUAACUGAGGUAGAAUACAGCCAAUAAAUGGAAAUUAGCAAAAAUGACAGGCUCUCACCUACAGAUUUGUUCUGACUUAGAGUGCCACAAAGCUGUGAUGCUGGUGUGUAGUUCCCUGUAGAUUAUGAGCAGGAAGUUAGGAGGAAGAUUGACACAGUUAAAGAAAUAGCACAUCAUAGCAAGCAGCAUGGGUUGAAAUAGACUCAUUAAAAGUAGGUCUGAGAAACAGAACAAGCACAACCUUUUGUGUUUACAUUGUGAGAAUGCAAAUAACCCUGCUCACCAUUAACUGCUCCUGAAAGCGGCACAGUGCAGGAACGCAUUUAUUAUCAUCACCCGAUUCACCAGCGAGAGGUGUCAUCAUGAGUGGUGUGUUCUUCUUAAGAAGACAGGGAUAUAAUAUAUUUUAGAAAGACACCUGUCAAAAGCAGUUUAUUAUUAUUAUUUAAUCUGUGUGCACAGUAGGGUAAACUUGUCAGUAUAUGUUUAAAAAAAAAAAAAAGUAGUUUCCCAGGAUGGCUCUAUGGCUGGAUGGCUGACACUGUGCUAAGCCUCUCUUGCACUUGUUUCUUUUAGGUCUCUAUAGAAUGUUAUAAUUAUCCAUUCUGCAUUACCACUCAGAGAGGAUGCAAAGAGUAUGGAACGAAUGUGGACUUUGGGCCUCAGAGAUCUGGUUCAAAUCUUGGAUGUACCACAGCUGUUUUAAGAUGCCGCUUAUCUUAUAGGGAUACUAGAAGGAUAAACUUAGAUUCUGCCCAUCAGUCCACCUACUUACCCAUCCACCCACCUAUACAUCCACCCACCCAUUCAUCCAUCCACCCACCCAUCGUCCAUCCAUUCAUCCAUCUAUCCAUCCAUCCAUCCAUCUACCUACCCACUUACCUAUCAUUUUGAGGUACAAAUAAUAGUAUUAUGAUGUUAUUACUAGUAUGCAUCCAAUGACUAGUUCUUUUUAGGUUGUUUUUAUUUUUUAAAUGUUCAUUUAUUUUUAAGUGUAUGUUUUAAAAAAACAAGUAGACAAUGUGAACUGGAAGAGUGAAAUCAGUCAGAAAUGGAAGGGUUAGAACUGAAUUCCCAUUUGUGAUGUUAUGCAAAAUACACAAAAUCUCCAUUGUCUGACUUUUCCCUUUUGCAACAACCAUUAUCUCUCUGCAACAAGAAGGCCUGAGAUUUAAAGACUGAUUAUUUCGAUAUCGGCUGUUCUCUAAUUUUAAGUGAAUCAGCUCUAGAAGCAACAGUGGCUUCCUUGGGCAAGCAUGCUACUAUUCAAAAACGUACGCCCUAACUUGUACUGUGCAGACUUGGAAAAUGAUUUCAAGCUAACCCCGCUUCACGCGAUCUCCAGGCCGAGAGGUUUCUUACUGGCGCCGCAGUAGUUCCCUCCUGUAGCUUUCCACAGUAUUUCAAAUUACUGACUCAAAGCAAUUUUUUACCCUAGAGACAUUUUAUUGAUUUUUCCCCCUUGUAUUCUUAGCUGUUGUUCAGAUUUCUAUGACUUUCUAUCCUGGUUUGUAUAGUACAUUGUUAUGGAACUCUAAGUUUUUACAAAUAGGUCAAAGUAAUUCCCAGAAUCCCCGUAGUUUCAGACUCUCAGGUACAUGAUUGAAUUUGGGUCUGAUCUUUGGUUCCUCCAGCAAUUCAUUUCAUAAGAAAGGAUUUCUGGCAGGAAUUUUCGGUGUUACAUUCAUCGCAGAAAAGAUAGAGCUUACUUUUGCUGGCUUUCAGCAUCAUUUUUCUCUUGGCAAUUUUGGAAGUUAACCAAGGAUAAAAUAGUCUUAGAUUAAACCUCCUGCUAUUAGUAUUUACUGCCAUUUGAUGGUUCUGUUUAAAAAAUAUCUGCAUUGAAAGCUAUCGUGCCUUGGAAGUCACUUUAAAUCUCCACACAGUCUUUGGAGCUCAUUCUACCCAUUCUCCCUUAGCACCUUUAAAAAAUAAUCACCAGAAUAACUGAAGUGAAUGGUAAGAUCUUUACAAGGUGCCUUGAGUUUUCCCUUUUUUUCUAAGUAUUUGUAAGUUGCCUUGCUGAUAGAAAUACCCUUUCUUCUAAAAAGGAAAUUGACAUACUCCUUUAGAGUUUUCUAGUACCAACGAAGCAAUUCAUGGAUUGUUGUUAAAGAAGCAUUUAUGCAUGCACAGAGCUCUGCACGGUAUCAUUGGCGCCAUCUCUGCCUCUUCGUGAAGGUAAUCAGCCGCCUCACUUCUGCCUCUCUCACAUAAUCACGUUGACCAGAAACCUGAGGGCUGUAUGUGAUAUCUCUGUGAUUUUUAGUGCAAUUAAAUAAUGCUGCAGAUUAGAAAUAAACUGCUGGAUUCUCUGGAUGAAGUGCUCAAACACUUGUCUUUCUACAGAGCUGUACACUUCCAGCAAUCACAUUGAAGGAAUCAGUCUCAGAAGAAAAGACAGGAAAUAAAAUGCAUUUGCAUGGUGCUGAAUAUUAUUCAGGUUAAUGGAGGUGAAUUUGAGUUGUUAAGCAAACGGUUUAAAAGCGUGCUCACUUGCUUUGACACUGAGUAGUUUUGGUGCUUAUUGAAUUGAAUAUGUAUCUGGAUAAAUACUUACUGCAUUCCUACAGUAUAAGGCAGAAUGUAAAUGGUUGGUAAAUUUUUGAGGAUUUGUAAAAAUUCAAGGUCCUGUGCUAAGCUUGGGUCAAACGCGGUUUCUACUUUCAAAGAGAUGACUUUCUAUCAAGGCACUUUCGAAAUGUGUGUUCUUUUUAUUUUCAAACAAAGAUAAGACAUGGAGCACAAAGGUAUGAAAAUAGGAGCAUAUUUAUAUAGCAGAAAACUUUUUCGAGAGAAAUGUGAAAGUUGGUUGGUAGAUGGUAGCUGGGGCUUAAAGCAAUCAUGAGAAUGUUUUAAAGUUGUUAUCUUAGGAGGAGAGAACAAUGUCAUAAGUGGGAGAUGUGAAAACCAGUUCACAUGUGAGAUGGCAGCAGAUGGAGACAGAAUUAGUGAGAGAAUUUCGAAGAAACUGAUGAGUGAUGGAGACACAGCGUAACAAUUAGAGAAGAACGCACGGGCUUCAGGUCUUUUGAAGAAACGGCUGCUGGAGAACGAGCUGCAAACUUCCAUUUAUACUUGUUUUCCUACAUAGUUAUUAAGUGGUGGAUUAUGAAAAUGUGUAAUCGGUAAUUAGUAUUUCCUCUUUGAUGAUUUUCUGAACAUGUUUAGGAAUACAGAACUCUUACGAUCUUGGAAGGGAUAAUGUGCCUUCAUCCUUCAUGCAUUAAUUCCCUCCUUUAUUUAAAUACUUGCUGGAUGCCUCCUAUGUCCAUCUAUAGGAGCUUAGGACACGAUUUUGUUUCAAGAGAAAAUUCUGGUUCACUCGUUUUUAUUUUAAGAUGUAGUUUAAAUUGCAAUUUUUACUUUUAAGAUUUUUUUGCUAGUUAGUUUUCAUUCCAUUUUUUCCUUUUAUUAUUUACUUACCUUUUUAGCUCCUUAAAUUGUUCCCUCUGAAUUUGGAAUACUUUCAGCUUUUCUGAUUUGUGUAUAUGUCUGUUUAGGUAUCAUACAGUCUUUUACCAUGUACUUUUUUUUAAAGAUUGUUUUACGUAUAUAAUAUCUAUAUCUUUAUAGAUUGAGCAUUCCUUAUCUAUGGAAGAUUAGUGCUAUUAUAGGUCACAUUUGUUGUAGUAUGUCCCUCUGAAGCACAUGGCCUCAGGAACCUACUGCCUGGAGCGAAAUCCUGGCUCUGCCAUCCCAUGUGUGUGACGUUAGGGCAAGUGACCUAAUUUGCUCGGUUUCCUCACUUGUUAAUUUGGGACAAUACUAAUAUUGUAAGAACUAGAUGACUUGCCGUAUACUUAAAGUGCGUUAUGAUUUAAAUAUAACAUUCCCAGAAGCAGAAUAAAUUCCUUUUGUUAUUUAGUAUUCUUGGUGUGGAGUUCUGAUGUGUAAAUAUAUUUUUAUUUUUAAGGCAGAAUGCAAUAUUUCACACUUACAGGUCUUUAAAUAGUCUAAGUAUAUAAAAAUGGAGUCAAAGUUUUAACUUUUAAAAAAUUACUUUUAUGACAAUAUUAUUUUAUACUUUUGUAGUGUUAACUUGUUUUCCUCUCACUGAUUUAACUUUCACAUAUAAAUAGGGUUCUAUUAUGAUUGUGUCAUUUUUAAUAAAACUCUCUUUUGGAUUUA